GGGGGCCUGGCCCUGAGGCCUUUCAGGCGGGUCCAUGGAGCCUGGACUACCUGCUCAGCUCCUCCUGCCCUGCUCCAUCCAGCUGUCACCAAGACCCUGACCAGGCCACCUCCCCCUCCCCCAGCAGGCAGCCUCAGCUGCUGAUGGGCCAGGCCCAUCCUGGUCACCUUGCUCCCCAGCCAGGAAGCCUCCACAGCCUGGGAGAGGGAGUCCAAGCUAAUUCAGGGCCUCUCCCACCUCUCCUGGUUGUCAGUGUGAGGGGAACUUUGGGGACAAGGGGACGCUCCCUGCAGUGGACUGUGUGACAGGAGUUGGUGCCCUGCCUCCCCGCCAACGCUUCCAGACAAUCCACAGGACUGGAGGAUGUCCACAGGCAAAAUUGUCGCCAAGAGAAGGAAGGAAGAGCCCCGACCGGCUCUGCCUCUGGGGGGAAAGAGCCUGUUUGCAGCCUCCAAGGAAGCCUGCUGAAUAGCAAACAUCUGCCCAUCAGCUGUACUUAUCAGGUCCUGGCUGAGCCUUGACUUGGCAGAGGUGAACCCAAGGAAAAUACAACAGACCUACAAGUCACUGCCUCCCACGACAGUCUGGGACUGACAUUCUGUAAGGGCUCCGGGGUUCAGAGAGACCUGAGAGGCAGGAUGGAGCCCUUCUGCUGGGGUUGGUCAGGGAAGGCUUCUCGGAGGAGAGAGCAUUCAAGCUGGGCGUGGAGGCCUGGGCUGGCAGUGGCAGGGUUCAGCCCACUGAUUGGCUGAUGGAUCUGCAAAAGUUGGAAUAUCCACGGGUGCUAAGUCUGCUGGGACCAAGGAUCUGAGAUGACUUCAUUGCCGAGCUGAGCGUGGACCCUGAAACCUACUUGGUUUGGUAACCUGCACGUUGUACCCAGCUGACAUUGCCCCCACCGGAUAUCCAUGGAACUGGCCAAGCUGGACACUGGGGAGGGACAGGUGUGGGCCGAUGGCCUCUGGACACUGCUUCUCCCACACUUGGGCUGAGUCCUAUACUGUGAACCCAGACACCAAGAUGACAAGACCAACAGGGCAAGACCUCCGGGGGCCUGGCCUGGCCCCCCUCAUGCAGUGCCUCUAACGUGUUAUCCUCUCUUCAGGCCUCCAGCCCUCGCCAAGGCCCAAGGCUGUGCUAAGGCUCUGUUGAGAGCCAACCUGGGGGCCCAGGGCCUGCCUGGGCAGAGAUUGCGCCCAGGAGGUUGUGGGCUGCGCUGACUCCCACGAAGACAGCCAACACCUGCACCAGCCUGCCCAGGCACACCCCUCUGCCCCAGCCAACUAUGACACAGCUGUCAAGGCCUAGCCCAGCUGUCACUUCCUCUGGGCUGGGGCCAGGGUUAUCAGUAGGGUCUCCAGCCUUGGUGCUUCUGUGACGUGGAUGGGGUGAGGAAUUAAACACACAGGAAAACCAAUUCAGA
Molecule: long non-coding RNA, 1423 nt
Organism: Phacochoerus africanus (Common warthog)
Lineage: Eukaryota; Metazoa; Chordata; Mammalia; Artiodactyla; Suidae
Exons: 3
Source: RefSeq, a predicted model, not a curated record